UAACAACCCAAGUUCUUCAACUAUCAUGAAUGUUUGGUCCAUAGCACUGGCUCUGACAUUGUCACUCUUAUUAUCAACUACUGCUAGAGCCAAAGCUGAGAUUCAACCAUCCACAGAAGAAGUGCACUCUUUGCAUCUUACUAAGUCUUCAUCUUCUCAUCAAGCUACAAAAGAUUUGCAUGCUUAUAAUAAGAAGCAUCCUUCAAUGCAGGUGGGUUCUAGUUUCAGAAGGAUACCUCCAACCAAAUCAAAUCCUACACAUAACAAGUUCAAUCCUCCAAUACAGCAGGUUCAAAACUACCCAGUUCUUUACUUAUCUUCUUAUUUCCUUCAUUUGGAUUUAAGAUCCACUUCUAAACAAAGAGAAUGCUCCUUCACCUUCCACCUAAUCUGAGUAAAGUCGAAAAACCCAUUUGAGAGGGCAAACGAUACCGACGGAUACUAAGGGUACGUGUUUUUAUUCUUAGAGGUCAUUCACUGGAAUACUACUUUUACUCGAGCACGCUUAACUGUGAAGUUCAGAUGAAAUCCGAUUCAUCUAUCAAUAGCUUUUCCCAAUGUGCAAGUGUUGCUAUCACAAAUGGAAAAACAAGCUGGGCAAUAAGGCAAGAGUCAUUU
Molecule: long non-coding RNA, 618 nt
Filed under: Lupinus mutabilis
Lineage: Eukaryota; Viridiplantae; Streptophyta; Magnoliopsida; Fabales; Fabaceae
Description: partial ncRNA
Source: RNAcentral